This 429-nucleotide ribosomal RNA is filed under the name Gemmatimonadota bacterium. Its description in RNAcentral is "Gemmatimonadetes bacterium partial 16S ribosomal RNA". It matches the Rfam family "Bacterial small subunit ribosomal RNA", at positions 355 to 776 of the family's 1533-position model. The record is from RNAcentral. Lineage: Bacteria; Pseudomonadati; Gemmatimonadota.
UAGGGAAUCUUCGGCAAUGGACGAAAGUCUGACCGAGCAACGCCGCGUGAGUGAAGAAGGUUUUCGGAUCGUAAAACUCUGUUGUUAGAGAAGAACAAGGACGUUAGUAACUGAACGUCCCCUGACGGUAUCUAACCAGAAAGCCACGGCUAACUACGUGCCAGCAGCCGCGGUAAUACGUAGGUGGCAAGCGUUGUCCGGAUUUAUUGGGCGUAAAGCGAGCGCAGGCGGUUUCUUAAGUCUGAUGUGAAAGCCCCCGGCUCAACCGGGGAGGGUGAUUGGAAACGGGGAGACUUGAGAGCAGAAGAGGAGAGAGGAAUUCCAUGUGUAGCGGUGAAAUGCGUAGAUAUAUGGAGGAACACCAGUGGCGAAGGCGGCACUCUGGUCUGUAACUGACGCUGAGGCUCGAAAGCGUGGGGAGCAAACAGA